RNAcentral lists this long non-coding RNA (326 nucleotides) under Mytilus galloprovincialis (Mediterranean mussel). Lineage: Eukaryota; Metazoa; Mollusca; Bivalvia; Mytilida; Mytilidae. The record is from RNAcentral.
AGAUAAGCUAAAAAUAUUGAUAGGUCAUGGACCUCCUUUUCGAGAUAUUUGAGAUUUAAAAUAUGGCGGGAAAAGGCUGACUCGGACUUUUACCUUAUAUUUGCAUUGGUAAUACUUGGGUCACAAACCAAAAGAAAAAAAAAUCAAGAAUCUUCUCAAAUUUUGGUAAAUGACCUUUCAUGAGCUAUUUUAAAAGUCUUAUUUGAAAAAAAUAAAUGGGUGUUAUGGGGCAAAAUAUUUUACAUAGUAUUGUAUGGAAAAACACCAAGGAGUCCGAACAUUUGACACAAAUUCCAAAACCUCACAUAAGUACAUCCUUAACAUGG